GCUGGGCAUGGUGGUGGAUGCCUGUAAUCCCAGCUACUCGGGAGGCUGAGGCAUAAGAAUCGCUUGAACCUGGGAGGCAGAGUUUGCAGUGAGCUGAGAUCAUGCCACUGCACUCUAGCCUGGGCAACAAAGCGAGACUCUGCCUCAA
Molecule: non-coding RNA, 148 nt
Organism: Homo sapiens (human)
Lineage: Eukaryota; Metazoa; Chordata; Mammalia; Primates; Hominidae
Rfam family: Metazoan signal recognition particle RNA
About the family: The signal recognition particle (SRP) is a universally conserved ribonucleoprotein.
Source: Rfam